Clupea harengus (Atlantic herring) is the source of this 390-nucleotide long non-coding RNA. Lineage: Eukaryota; Metazoa; Chordata; Actinopteri; Clupeiformes; Clupeidae. The record is from Ensembl.
GCUUGCAAGGGGACAUUUGUAUUUCACACCAUUGGCCCCGCAGGUACUCUCCAGGUACUCUCCAGGUACUCUCUAGGUACUCUCCAGGUACUCUCCAAGUACUCUCCAGUUGGUCAAAAGUCUUACCUUGGAUUGGUGGCACAAUCUUGUCCCCCCUAAACCCCCUCCCCAUUGGUCUUGCAUGUGUCCUCAGACAUGAUUCCUCGUAUAUUAGGAUUCCUCCGUCAGGAGGAAACCUAUUGUUAUUGUAGGCUUUAUUAUUCUUGUACCAUGGGAGUCAAUGGCAGCCCCUAGAACCGUAUGGUAACUUUUUCUGAAAUUUGGCACACUCAUUAAGGACAGUCCCUUCAUCACUCACACCAAGUUUCACGUCUCCCACUAGACCACGCU